Long non-coding RNA from Rosa rugosa (rugosa rose), 1168 nucleotides. RefSeq lists it as uncharacterized. Lineage: Eukaryota; Viridiplantae; Streptophyta; Magnoliopsida; Rosales; Rosaceae. The record is from RefSeq and is a predicted model, not a curated record. The transcript has 4 exons.
UGCGAGGCAAAACCAUCGCACUCUCCUCCUCCUCCUCCCCCUCCCUUCGCCGUCAAAUACUUGAGCAUGAUUCAUACUCAUCGGAAGAAAUCGAGAGAGGGCGCUGACAUUUUUUCCCUCUCAGUCUCUCUCUUCGACCGUCGAGGCUUCGACGACCCUCGCUCUCAUCGACGGUAACUCGGUGACGGACUGCAGUCGAAUAGUUGAUCGAUCUGUCUGGGUUUUUACUUUCUGGGUUUUCAAUCAAUCUCUCAAGUGUUCGAAUAGCCUCGAACUCUUGGUUGCUCUCUUCCUCAAGCAGCAAAGCAGAAAUUCUUGGUUGCUUUCCGGUUCGAUUUCUGAGUUAUGGAAUUGAUCAAGUUGUUUUGGACGUUAGUUACUGAUUGAAAUUGAAUUGUAUUGUAUAUUUAUAUUGCAUCUGUUUUGAAAUUUGGCAUCAGUUUUGCCAGUUUUGAUGGGAAUUGAAUUGCAUCUGUCUUGGUAUUUGGAUGGAAAUUGAAAUUGUAUCUGAUAUGAAAUUGUUUAGGUGGAGGUGGAAACAAAUUGGUGAUUUCCCAAAGGGGGUUCUGGAAAGCAUUGUGGGGAUUAAACUCAUUAAAGCAUCCAAGGGAUCACAGGAGCCACAAGCUCAGCCACGUCCCGAGGAUGCUCCAGCACAGCAGUCCUAUUAUCCUCACUCUGUUAACUCCCCGAGCUCUUCUCGUCCUUUAACUCCGAGUUGAACCUCUUCUUCUUCCAAUUUGAGUUCUAGGGGUAACUCCCCGUCACCUGUUUCUCCCACUGAAGUUGCUGGUGUUAUUGCUUCUUUGAAGGACAAAAGCGAGACCUAUCAGUACUAUGAUUUGUCUUUCUGCCUUCCAGAUCCAGUAAUUCAAAAGAAAGAAUCCAUUGGGGAAGUUUUUUGUGUGGUGAUCGUUUGACCAACAACUUAUAUCAGUUGAAUUUCCGGCAGAACAAAAAUGAGGAGAGACUGUGCCAGAAGAAGCUUAGAGUUUCUGAAGUUCGGAAGUUCAGGGAUGCUAUCCUUAUUUUGUGUAAUAGUAAAACAUAAUAUGCAUAUUGAAGAGUUUAAAGUAAAUCUUUUAUUCGGUCCAACCAAGGGUACAAGAAUAAUACAUGAGAAAUAUAGUUACAUAAUCAAAAAACAAAAUUAUGUAUUUUAGUAGCA